RNAcentral lists this long non-coding RNA (241 nucleotides) under Spirodela polyrhiza (greater duckweed). RNAcentral's name for it is "long non-coding RNA (SPOL_LNC000871)". Lineage: Eukaryota; Viridiplantae; Streptophyta; Magnoliopsida; Alismatales; Araceae. The record is from RNAcentral.
UUCCCCAGAGGCACAUCCGGCGGUCGCUCCUCCGGAGGAACCGGUAUUACAGAUUCCCGAAGAAGUGAUAUGAUAGAGGGGAAUAAAAAAAAGUAUUAAUAAUAAUAAGAAUAAAAAGACUUUACCCCCGUUCCUUCACACUGGAUUCUUUGCGACCGAAACUGGGACCCCGAAUGCAUGUCAAGCUCGACAACUACAGUCAUCGGAGAAGUGCCCUUCGUCUCGUGAAGUGUUCCGAUUU